RNAcentral lists this non-coding RNA (21 nucleotides) under Arabidopsis thaliana (thale cress). The record is from RNAcentral. Lineage: Eukaryota; Viridiplantae; Streptophyta; Magnoliopsida; Brassicales; Brassicaceae.
GUCCUAUGUAAAUAUAUGGUC